CCCCUAGAUGUUCUGGGCCGCACGCGCGCUACACUGACUACUUCAACGAGUUGUUUCCUUGAUCGAAAGGUCUGGGUAAUCUUUGAAAGGUAGUCGUGAUGGGGAUAGAUCCUUGCAAUUUUUGAUCUUCAACGAGGAAUUCCUAGUAAACGCAAGUCAUCAGCUUGCAUUGAUUACGUCCCUGCCCUUUGUACACACCGCCCGUCGCACCUACCGAUUGAAUGGUCCGGUGAAAUCUCGGGACGGCGGCUUGGUCGCUUGCGUCCGACUGCUGAAACUUGAUUAAACCAUAUCAUUUAGAGGAAGGUGAANUCGUANCA
Molecule: ribosomal RNA, 320 nt
Filed under: uncultured eukaryote
Lineage: Eukaryota
Description: partial 18S ribosomal RNA
Rfam family: Eukaryotic small subunit ribosomal RNA
Source: RNAcentral